AGCGAACGCUGGCGGCAGGCUUAACACAUGCAAGUCGAACGCAUCCUUCGGGAUGAGUGGCAGACGGGUGAGUAACGCGUGGGAACGUGCCCUCCGGUUCGGGAUAACCCAGGGAAACUUGGGCUAAUACCGGAUACGUGCUUAUGGCAGAAAGGUUUACUGCCGGAGGAUCGGCCCGCGUCUGAUUAGCUAGUUGGUGGGGUAACGGCCUACCAAGGCUGCGAUCAGUAGCUGGUCUGAGAGGAUGAUCAGCCACACUGGGACUGAGACACGGCCCAGACUCCUACGGGAGGCAGCAGUGGGGAAUAUUGGACAAUGGGCGCAAGCCUGAUCCAGCCAUGCCGCGUGAGUGAUGAAGGCCUUAGGGUUGUAAAGCUCUUUUACCCGGGACGAUAAUGACGGUACCGGGAGAAUAAGCCCCGGCUAACUUCGUGCCAGCCGCCGCCGUAA
This 450-nucleotide ribosomal RNA is filed under the name uncultured bacterium. Its description in RNAcentral is "partial 16S ribosomal RNA". It matches the Rfam family "Bacterial small subunit ribosomal RNA", at positions 29 to 523 of the family's 1533-position model. The record is from RNAcentral.